This 498-nucleotide ribosomal RNA is filed under the name uncultured bacterium. RNAcentral describes it as "partial 16S ribosomal RNA". It matches the Rfam family "Bacterial small subunit ribosomal RNA", at positions 30 to 523 of the family's 1533-position model. The record is from RNAcentral.
AUUGAACGCUGGCGGCAUGCCUUACACAUGCAAGUCGAACGGCAGCACGGGGCAACCUGGUGGCGAGUGGCGAACGGGUGAGUAAUGCAUCGGAACGUACCUUUCAGUGGGGGAUAACGUAGCGAAAGUUACGCUAAUACCGCAUAUUCUGUGAGCAGGAAAGCAGGGGAUCGCAAGACCUUGCGCUGAUUGAGCGGCCGAUGUCAGAUUAGCUAGUUGGUGAGGUAAAGGCUAACCAAGGCGACGAUCUGUAGCGGGUCUGAGAGGAUGACCAGGCACACUGGGACUGAGACACGGCCCAGAGUCCUACGGGAGGCAGCAGUGGGGAAUUUUGGACAAUGGGCGCAAGCCUGAUCCAGCAAUGCCGCGUGCAGGAAGAAGGCCUUGGGGUCGUAAACUGCUUUUGUACGGAGCGAAAAGGCUCUCUCUAAUACAGGGGGCUCAUGACGGUACCGUAAGAAGAAGCACCGGCUAACUACGUGCCAGCCGCCGCCGUAA